Molecule: ribosomal RNA, 401 nt
Filed under: uncultured prokaryote
Description: bacterial SSU rRNA
Rfam family: Bacterial small subunit ribosomal RNA
Source: RNAcentral
UGGGGAAUAUUGCACAAUGGGGGAAACCCUGAUGCAGCAACGCCGCGUGAGUGAUGACGGCCUUCGGGUUGUAAAGCUCUGUCCUCAAGGAAGAUAAUGACGGUACUUGAGGAGGAAGCCCCGGCUAACUACGUGCCAGCAGCCGCGGUAAUACGUAGGGGGCUAGCGUUAUCCGGAAUUACUGGGCGUAAAGGGUGCGUAGGUGGUUUCUUAAGUCAGAGGUGAAAGGCUACGGCUCAACCGUAGUAAGCCUUUGAAACUGGGAAACUUGAGUGCAGGAGAGGAGAGUGGAAUUCCGAGUGUAGCGGUGAAAUGCGUAGAUAUUAGGAGGAACGCCGGUGGCGAAGGCGACUUUCUGGCCCUAUACUGACGCUGAGGUGCGAAAGCGUGGGGAGCAAACA